Molecule: ribosomal RNA, 253 nt
Filed under: uncultured bacterium
Lineage: Bacteria
Description: partial 16S ribosomal RNA
Rfam family: Bacterial small subunit ribosomal RNA
Source: RNAcentral
UACAGAGGUGGCAAGCGUUGUUCGGAAUUACUGGGCGUAAAGGGCGCGUAGGCGGUCUUGUAAGUCUCGUGUGAAAUCCCUCGGCUUAACUGAGGAACUGCACGUGAUACUGCUUGACUUGAGUUCGGGAGAGGGAAGCGGAAUUCCGGGUGUAGCGGUGAAAUGCGUAGAUAUCCGGAGGAACACCGGUGGCGAAGGCAGCUUCCUGGACCGACACUGACGCUGAGGCGCGAAAGCGAGGGGAGCAAACGGG